RNAcentral lists this ribosomal RNA (453 nucleotides) under uncultured rumen protozoa. Its description in RNAcentral is "bacterial SSU rRNA". It matches the Rfam family "Eukaryotic small subunit ribosomal RNA", at positions 58 to 565 of the family's 1831-position model. The record is from RNAcentral.
CACUAGACACCGCGCGAUGCUCUGAUUAACGGAAAGGCUCAUUAAAAGUUAUAGUUUAUUUGAUACAUUAAUGGAUAACUGUAGAAAAACUAGAGCUAGUACAUGCCAAUGCCGUAAGGUUGUAUUUAUUAGAUAUUCCAAAUAAGAUGAAUCAUAAUAACUCCGCAAAUCUCGAUUUCAUCGAGAACUACCGCUCCAAGUUUCUGUCCUAUCAGCUUUCGAUGGUAGUGUAUUGGACUACCAUGGCUCUCACGGGUAACAGGGAAUUAGGGUUCGCCCCCCCCCCAGGAGCCUGAGAAACGGCUACUACAUCUAAGGGAGGCAGCAGGCGCGUAAAUUACCCAAUCCUGACUCAGGGAGGUGGUGACAAGAUAUAAUAACCCUAUUAACGUAGUGAUUAUAGUGAGGAUAUUCCAAACAGAAUCACAAGAACGAUUAGAGGGCAAGUCUGGU